Pipistrellus kuhlii (Kuhl's pipistrelle) is the source of this 175-nucleotide long non-coding RNA. RefSeq lists it as uncharacterized. The record is from RefSeq and is a predicted model, not a curated record. NCBI's taxonomy places the organism in Eukaryota, Metazoa, Chordata, Mammalia, Chiroptera, Vespertilionidae. The transcript has 2 exons.
UUGUCGGGUGAAAGGAUGCUCCAGUGAAGCACAUGCAGAAAGCAAAAUGAAAAAAGGAGCAGUGCAGCCAAUUUGGGUGCUAGAGUGUUACUUAUGUCACCACAGUGGACCCAGAGAAGCUCCUUGUCCCUUCGUUCAAAAGACUGAGAGUUGCCCUGAUGACAGCAAAGCGGAA